Chrysemys picta bellii (western painted turtle) is the source of this 820-nucleotide non-coding RNA. NCBI's taxonomy places the organism in Eukaryota, Metazoa, Chordata, Testudines, Emydidae. The record is from RefSeq and is a predicted model, not a curated record.
CUGAGCGCGUGUGCGUCCCCCUCCCGCGCGUUAGCUCGCUCAGCGCCCAGCCAGGCGACUGGGACUUUGCCCCGGGGUGGUUUAGAAGGGGAAUGAUCCCCCCGCCGCCUUCCCACAGCAGCUUCGCGUGCCAGAGUGUGAUUGUUUCCUGAGGUAAAGAACCAACUCCUGCACUCCCUACUCAGGCAAAACUACCAUCAAUUUCAACAAAAGGGUAUGGUCUUAUAUUUAGUUUUUCAAAAUGAACAGUGCAAGCUGACUUGUGACGUGCUGCCUAAGACAAACAAUUGUUCAAUAAGUAUAAUACAUAUAUAUUAUUUUGAUAAUACUAGCUCAAUUACUUUCAAGUUAAGAAAUUUAAGUUCAAAGUUUUGAUCUACCUUAUUUCUUAUUUUGCAAAGUCAUGUACAUCUUUACCUGUUUACGUUUUAUAAAAUAAAACUUCAGUAGGUUUUUUUUUAAGCUAAGAGAAAUAAAGGUCAACAGCUCAUCAAUCUCAACAGCAAAGCAAAAGUGCAUGUAGGGCUGAAUGGAAGACAUUUCUAGCAAGGAAAUAGGUUUUACAAGGCUAUUUACAAAAGAAGUGAAAAUUUUAAGGGUAUUCAAAAAUACUGUUACUGUGCCAUUAUAUGCAAAUACCAUUCAGCAUCAGAGAUGUUUUCAAGUAAAAUGAGACAGAUUUAAUGAAAAUGAAAAGAUUUUGUCCCAACUUCACUCAGUGAUAUUGAAUGGGGUCAGAGUAUAAUUUGUCCUAAAAUUGUUAUUAAUAACACAAUACCAUUUUGAGUACAAUAAAAUAGUUUCCUAAACAUUGAUACAA